AAACCAUGUUGUGGGCAUGAGCUGAUGAGAUCCUUGAACCGUUCCCAACAUUAAAAGAUGUUUCAUCUUCCUUUUGGGCAAAGUUCAUGAUCAACUUCCUGAUGGU
This is a small nucleolar RNA of Magnolia sinica, 106 nucleotides long. The record is from RefSeq and is a predicted model, not a curated record. Lineage: Eukaryota; Viridiplantae; Streptophyta; Magnoliopsida; Magnoliales; Magnoliaceae.